RNAcentral lists this ribosomal RNA (253 nucleotides) under uncultured bacterium. Its description in RNAcentral is "partial 16S ribosomal RNA". It matches the Rfam family "Bacterial small subunit ribosomal RNA", at positions 524 to 776 of the family's 1533-position model. The record is from RNAcentral.
UACGGGGGGGGCAAGCGUUGUUCGGAAUUACUGGGUGUAAAGGGCUCGUAGGUGGCCAACUAAGUCAUACGUGAAAUCCCUCGGCUUAACCGGGGAACUGCGUCUGAUACUGGAUGGCUUGAGGUUGGGAGAGGGAUGCGGAAUUCCAGGUGUAGCGGUGAAAUGCGUAGAUAUCUGGAGGAACACCGGUGGCGAAGGCGGCAUCCUGGACCAAUUCUGACACUGAGGAGCGAAAGCCAGGGGAGCAAACGGG